Molecule: long non-coding RNA, 2610 nt
Filed under: Heterocephalus glaber (naked mole-rat)
Lineage: Eukaryota; Metazoa; Chordata; Mammalia; Rodentia; Bathyergidae
Description: lncRNA (ENSHGLG00000035353.1)
Source: RNAcentral
GGCAGGGCAGGGCCUCCAGGGUGUCCCAGCUGAGCUGGGCAGAGCCGCCAGUGGGGGUCUGGAGCGGGAUCCCGUCACCAGCGGGGAGCUUGAGGCUAGGCUGGUGGCGGAGAAAGUCAAGAAAAACAACAGUUUCCAACUGAGGAGGAAGACUCAAACAGGAAACAUGCCCUGUCCUUGCCUGGCCUCAGAGGGUGGACAGGGACAGGGAGGAGCUGCCCUGGCUUGACCUGCCAGGUCUGGAUGAGGUCCCCCCAUUCCGCCGUCCCCUCUUUAUUAUAGCCCUUGGGGUCCCCCAGCUUAACAGACGAACUUGACCUUUUCUUAUUUAUUUAUUUAUUGGUACUGGGGAUCGAACUCAGGACCUUGCGCUUCAAGCAGGCAGCAGCACCACUGAGCUAAAUCCCCGGCCCUGUUUUAUAGUUUUUUGAGACAAGGUCUCACUUUGUAGUCCAGGCUGGCCUUGACCUCACUGUGUAGCCCAGGCUGGCCUUGAACUCGUGGUGAUCCUCCUGCCUCAGCCUCCCAAGUGCUGGGAUCACAGGCAUGGGCCACCGUGCCAGGCUUGUCUCGUUCUCGGGUCCCAUGUUUUCCUCUAUGGUGGUCUGCAGCUUCCUGCACAUGUCGGACAAUCUACUUGGUGGCUCUGUGUGUCUUGGCCUGUGGUGAUUGUGGUGAGACAUGGUUGGGACAUUUUCCUGCAAGAUGCCUCAUGCUGAAGCCUGGUCUCUGGUCAUGGCUGGGUUUGAUUCCUGGGCACAGGACCCUGCCUUCGUGUUCCAGAGCUGAUAGCUAGCUCUGUGUCAGUUCCCAGCCCCAGGAUGCUGUCACCACGUCCCCUGCCCUGGUUUGCUUGCUUAGGACUUGCCUGCAGAGCCAGGGAGGAUGCCCCGCCUUCCUCCUCCCACUGCCUCAUUCUUCCAGAUGCUCUCAGAAUUUCCUGCGCAUGUGGGCAAGGGGCUGCCUGAGGCCCUGAGUUGCUAACAAGCCCCUGCUGACCUGGCACUGCUGGCCUGAAUCCCACACUUCGGCACAGCGAGUGGCCUCAGGACAGGGCUUGAGCCCAGGGGGAGAAAGGGCCGGGUCUAGGCCUCGGACUCGGUCUGCUGUGUGUUCUUCGCAGGGCGGGUGUUUCCUGAUGUCUCACUGGGGACCCAGCUGCUUUGUGGGCAGGAGCGGUUUGUCCACCCAGCCCCCUCAGUGGCCCCAGCUCGUGAGUCACUGUGCGGAGCCCAUGCUCAUCGUGUGACCUGAAGCCUGGUGGCCUCAGACCUGGGGACAGCUAGGGCACCGCCAUGCCUGGGUCACCCCAGCACCUGUUCCCAGCCCCCUCCUGCUGGUCAGGCCCUGUUGGAGUGCUGGGGAGACCCAGCAUGCAGCUGAAGCACCCUGUGUUCAGUGUCUGCCAGCCCUCCGGGGUCACACUGUGGAAGGAGGGAUGGGACGUGCCGGGACCACUGUCUAAGGCCACACUCAGGUCUGAGGUCCCUGUGGGCCGUCCGUGUGUGUUGUGGCGUGAGCAGCCAGAUUCAGACCCUCAGCCAGCACUCCGGGCCCAGGGCAGGUGGGUGAUGUGUGGACGGGUGACGGGAGACAUCGAGGGGUUUCUGGGUUUCCUGACUGUGGGGACGUUUGUCAAGGCUCCUGCCACGUCCAUGCCUGUGACAGGGCUCAGGGCUUUGUGAUGUUUUUGGCCACUGGGUCAUCUGGCUGUGCAGUGAGCCGUAGCGCAGAUGAACAGUUCCCCAUGGGGCUCCACUGACCCACAGUGGGGCUGAGGUCAGGUGUGAUCUGCCCACGGAAAGGCCAGUGUGUGCGUGCGUGCAUGCGUGUGUGUGUGUUUGCACGCACAUCGGGGGAGACAGGAUACAUAGAUGUAGACAUUUAAUUUCUGCUAACAUAGCCACAGGCCCUGUCAAGGGACUAUCACAUCCAUCCCAAAAUGAGCAAUAAGAGGGAUUGUUUUCUGAGUGAAGUGCCUGGGGCAAAGUCAUUUAAUUAAAAAAUGCUGCAAUUUAAGAUGCAGGCAGGAGGCUGAGGGGGAUUUCCAGCUGAGGUGGGGACCCUGCCAUCAGCCCCCAGGCUGAUAGAGAUGGUGCCGGGAUUCACAGGCUCACCUCCGUGUGGGUCCCAGAGCCCUGGGUCUGAUGGCCAUGAGUGGGGAGCAGGGACAGGGAGGGAGCCAGACAGAGGCCUGUGCAGCGAGGCAAUGUGCACAUCUAGCCACAGUCACAGAGACAGGAGAGGACGGCCGCGCCGACAAGAAAGAGAGCACAGGGGACCAGGGACACCACAAAGAACUGGGGCACAGGAUUGAAGGAAAGUUUUCCUUGCUGGGAUGAGGGAUCAGAAAAGGAUCCUGCUGCAUGAUGGAUCAGAAGAAGACCCUGAGGGGAAGGUUGCCGCCCGCCACCCGGCUUCACCUGCACACAUCCAGUGUCUCCACUGCACGCCUCCCUGCAGCCUGCCCAGGCCUGGCAGCGCCCACGGCUCCAGCUUCAGCUCUACUGGGAGUCAGCUGGAAGCGGGGUUCUACUGGAGAGAAAGUGAUCUGCAACACACGGAGUCAAGCUUCUGAAAAGUCCACCUGCAGAGGCGAUUCGGGCCUGU